Long non-coding RNA from Carassius gibelio (silver crucian carp), 633 nucleotides. RefSeq lists it as uncharacterized. Lineage: Eukaryota; Metazoa; Chordata; Actinopteri; Cypriniformes; Cyprinidae. The record is from RefSeq and is a predicted model, not a curated record. The transcript has 2 exons.
CGCGCUGAACGAUGCACGGUGAAUAAACAGACAAAGAAAGAGACAGAAAACAGCCAUGAAGCACAUCUGAAAAGCUCAUCGAUCCAUCCGACACCGACAUCCGACGGUUAUUUGCAAGUGUGGGGGCGAAUCAUUACCUGCAGCUCUUUGGUUUCUUCUCGUUUCCUCCUCUCUGCCUCUUCCAGCUUUUCUUUCCAAGUUCUGCACAUAUCGAAAGACACAUAAAAUGGAAAACCUUGAUAUGAACUUGACUUUUCCACUGAUGUCAGUAUGAUGUCAUGGGCUGGGAAAACAGCCAAACAUGUUUCAACCCUUGAAGAUCCCGUCUGCUGCGACCUGAGACCACAGAAAACUCCUGCGUUUUGCCUUUUUCUACUCCAAAGCCACUUUCCCUAACCUCAAACUAAUCUGGCUACGUGCCGGGGAUUUUUGCACUUUAAAGGAAUGAGAAACAUCGGAGAGGUUAGAGUUUCUCUUGAGGCAUGUUAUUCCUGAAAGACUAUGACUUUAGUCAUGAUUUAUGUAAAUAAUGGCGUUUAUUACUUGUUAUAUGUAAAGGUAAUGGAUUAAAAUGUAUACUUUCUUAUGUUGACUUAGUGAACAGCAGAAAAUUAAACAUGAUUUAUCUAAAAA